Long non-coding RNA from Erigeron canadensis, 134 nucleotides. RefSeq lists it as uncharacterized. Lineage: Eukaryota; Viridiplantae; Streptophyta; Magnoliopsida; Asterales; Asteraceae. The transcript is spliced from 3 exons. The record is from RefSeq and is a predicted model, not a curated record.
CUAGGUUUUGAUCCCUCAAUCAUUCGUACAGGUUGUCGGGGAUACUUAGCAAGCACUGUAAGACAUAUGUAACUCAUUGUUAAGCAGUACCAAGGUCCAACAAUAGUGAGCAGGUUGAUGUGAGAAGAUGUGAG